Molecule: long non-coding RNA, 1557 nt
Filed under: Elaeis guineensis (African oil palm)
Lineage: Eukaryota; Viridiplantae; Streptophyta; Magnoliopsida; Arecales; Arecaceae
Description: long non-coding RNA (EGUI_LNC049482)
Source: RNAcentral
CCGAACACUCUUCUUUAGGUCAGUCACUGAUACUAUUUAUAGUUUUGAUGCCUCGGACUGAUAGUUGGACAAGGCUUAGCUUGUAUAUUACUGCAAUAACAAGGAACCAGAAAUUGUGAGCAUAGGGGGUGGGUUCCAAAAUCCAGUUGCUGAAUUGAGCAGAUCUUGUUAAGUUAUUUUGUUUCUGCUCUCUUCUUUAGGCCAGUCACUGUCUCACUGAUACUAUUUAUAGUUUUGAUGCCUCGGACUGAUAGUUGGACAAGGCUUAGCUUGUAUAUUACUGCAAUAACAAGGAACCAGAAAUUGUGAGCAUAGGGGAUGGGUUUUGGGAGCGGGGGUGGGUUCCAAAAUCCAGUUGCUGAAUUGAGCAGAUCAGUUCGACUGGGCUGUUUCAAUUAGAUACUCAUUCAAUACUGUGGUUCAUUCCAUAUUCCUGGUUCUUCUUUGCCUUAUUCUUUAACGCCAGUCACCCGAUCCCAUUAUCUUCUUCAUUCACCCAACAGCCUGCUAUGCCCAUGCAUUCUCCUGCAACAUACCCUGCACCUGACAUCCGUCCAUUCUCCAAGUCCAAGCACGGAAUGUCUGUCCUUCCUAUUUCCCGUUGCACCUCACAUAAUUCUUGUUUUUUGCUUUCUUACUCUAGAUAGUAAAUGUAUGCAAAGGAUUGAUUAUCAUAUGUGCUUGUAUCGAUAUAUCAUGACUGAUUCAUGGGUUGCUGAGAUUGCAGUGCCAGGUAAUAUUUUGCUGCCAAAAGUUGCAGAAAGUAUGUACCUAGAUAGUUCACCAUUCUGAGCUCCUGAUAACUCAUCAGCGUGAAAAGAAAACAAAGAAUUCUACUCUCUAGGGCUUCCAAUACAAGUUUUAGGUCAUCAUUCAUUUUGUGGAUUGCCUCCAUGGACUACAGUAUUUCCGCUCAUUGUGAGUUUUCCCCCAUGCUUAUGUUCAUUGGUUUUCUUUUUUGCAGAUAAUUGCUUAUUCGCUCCAAUGUUCUUUUAUGUAUAUUCUUUGAAAGUUGGUACUAGGACAAGAUUAAUUAAGGUCCUUGUUGCGGGAGUAUGAGGUCGUGAUUUAGGGAUUUAAGACAAUUGAGAUACUUUCAAGUUGAAAUUCUGUCAAUACAAAUAUAUUCAAAAGUGCUUGACAUAUGAGAGCGGUUCUCUAAGAUUGAGAUAAUUUUGUUGCUUCUCAUAAGGACAUCAGAAAGUUAUAUUUUUUAUGAGCACUGAUGCAGCGUGGAUGCAAGAGUAUAUUAUAAUGUAUUUUAAAGGAUUUAAAACAAUUUUCUACACUCUCAAGCCGAGAUGUAUAUUAUAAGGUAUUUUAAAUUGCUUGGCAUAUCAGCUGAAGGGGUGGUUCUCCACUGCAAAGCUAAAAUUUAUAUUUAUUUAUGAGCACUAACGCAGCAAGAUAUUGGAGAAUAAGGUUCUGAUUGAAGGAUUUAAGACAAGUUUAAAUACUCUUAAGCAGAGAUGUUGUAUGCACAAAAUGUGUUUUGAAGUGCUUCGCUCAGCAGCUACGAGGAUGGUUCUCUAUGAUAAGCUAAUAAGUCACCCUCAU